AUUGAACGCUGGCGGCAGGCCUAACACAUGCCAGUCGAGCGGAUGAAGGGAGCUUGCUCCUGGAUUCAGCGGCGGACGGGUGAGUAAUGCCUAGGAAUCUGCCUGGUAGUGGGGGAUAACGUCCGGAAACGGGCGCUAAUACCGCAUACGUCCUGAGGGAGAAAGUGGGGGAUCUUCGGACCUCACGCUAUCAGAUGAGCCUAGGUCGGAUUAGCUAGUUGGUGGGGUAAAGGCCUACCAAGGCGACGAUCCGUAACUGGUCUGAGAGGAUGAUCAGUCACACUGGAACUGAGACACGGUCCAGACUCCUGCGGGAGGCAGCAGUGGGGAAUAUUGGACAAUGGGCGAAAGCCUGAUCCAGCCAUGCCGCGUGUGUGAAGAAGGUCUUCGGAUUGUAAAGCACUUUAAGUUGGGAGGAAGGGCAGUAAGUUAAUACCUUGCUGUUUUGACGUUACCAACAGAAUAAGCACCGGCUAACUUCGUG
RNAcentral lists this ribosomal RNA (484 nucleotides) under uncultured bacterium. RNAcentral's name for it is "partial 16S ribosomal RNA". It matches the Rfam family "Bacterial small subunit ribosomal RNA", at positions 30 to 507 of the family's 1533-position model. The record is from RNAcentral.